AACGAACGCUGGCGGCAUGCCUAACACAUGCAAGUCGAACGAAGCCUUCGGGCUUAGUGGCGCACGGGUGCGUAACACGUGGGAAUCUGCCCUUCGGUUCGGAAUAACAGUUAGAAAUGACUGCUAAUACCGGAUGAUGACGUAAGUCCAAAGAUUUAUCGCCGAAGGAUGAGCCCGCGUAGGAUUAGGUAGUUGGUAGGGUAAUGGCCUACCAAGCCGGCGAUCCUUAGCUGGUCUGAGAGGAUGAUCAGCCACACUGGGACUGAGACACGGCCCAGACUCCUACGGGAGGCAGCAGUGGGAAUAUUGGACAAUGGGCGAAAGCCUGAUCCAGCAAUGCCGCGUGAGUGAUGAAGGCCUUAGGUUGUAAAGCUCUUUUACCAGGGAUGAUAAUGACAGUACCUGGAGAAUAAGCUCCGGCUAACUCCGUGCCAGCAGCCGCGGUAAU
Molecule: ribosomal RNA, 448 nt
Filed under: uncultured bacterium
Lineage: Bacteria
Description: bacterial SSU rRNA
Rfam family: Bacterial small subunit ribosomal RNA
Source: RNAcentral